Molecule: ribosomal RNA, 249 nt
Filed under: uncultured bacterium
Lineage: Bacteria
Description: partial 16S ribosomal RNA
Rfam family: Bacterial small subunit ribosomal RNA
Source: RNAcentral
ACGGGUGAGUAAUGUCUGGGAAACUGCCUGAUGGAGGGGGAUAACUACUGAAACGGUAGCUAAUACCGCAUAACGUCGCAAGACCAAANAGGGGGACCUUCGGGCCUCUUGCCAUCGGAUGUGCCCAGAUGGGAUUAGCUAGUAGGUGGGGUAACGGCUCACCUAGGCGACGAUCCCUAGCUGGUCUGAGAGGAUGACCAGCCACACUGGAACUGAGACACGGUCCAGACUCCUACGGGAGGCAGCAUG